This 2432-nucleotide small RNA is filed under the name Rattus norvegicus (Norway rat). RNAcentral's name for it is "uncharacterized LOC102556038". Lineage: Eukaryota; Metazoa; Chordata; Mammalia; Rodentia; Muridae. The record is from RNAcentral.
AAAAAAAGAAGCAGUUCUGAUGCCAAUGUAGAGUGGAGAGUGUUUUGGGGAAAGCCACUUUGUCGGGUAUUCCUCAUUCCCCCAUCCACGUAUGUUCUUGAUUUUCAACCCCUUUGCUCUAAGCCCGGAGAAGCUGCCUUUUAUGGCUUGUACCCUGGGCUUCUUUGGCUUCUAUUUGGGUCCAACCAACAAGAGACAACAUCAGGAUAUAGGAGAGUGGAGCAGGCCGAGCGUGGGAUGGAUUUUUACUUCACCCCGCCCACCGGCUGCCUUUUGGCAGCUUGCCGCAUUCUUCCCCAGCCUCCUCUGGGCCUUUAAGUUUGGGGAGCAGUAAUUGCUUCCCAUGCCUGCAGAUGCCCACACACUUUCUCAUCUUUACUUCCUUGAACCCGUUCAGCCCUCUCUCAGUAAUCUCUCCGCGGCGGCACACUCUCCAAUUGCCUUUUCCAAUGUGCCCCGUGCAUCCUGCAAAGACAGGAAAACAAAAACAUUGCCUGGAAAGGUCAAUAAUCCUGGCCUCCGUGCAGCUCGGUUCAAUUCAAUUUAGCAAACAUUGACUGAGUGAGGUCUUCUUUCCCAGGUUGUGCGCCAGGAACUGGGGUCAGAGAAAACACAGACACAGAACCUAUCUGCGGGGACCUAGGCGUAGCUUCCUGGGAGGCUGGAUGCGGGGAGAAGGGGAAGCACGUACUGUGGAUUGUUCCUGAAGGAGUAACAUGGGUGUGAUGACCUCUGUUGGAAGAAUGAGAUGACCGUGGCUUGUGACAGAGAAGGGACCUAUGCCAUUUAUGGCACAGCUGGGACUUGAUACAAAGAACCUCGAGGGCUGAGACAGUCAACAGGAAUACAGAUGGAGCCACCUGCUCCUUGCUGGAGACUGUUUGCAACAAGUUUACAUCAGUUCUCUUCUACUCUGGGGACAGCCUUGGAGGCAUAAAGGUGAACAGCACCAGGCUUUACAGUCAGGGCUUCAAAGACUUGAAGACGUAAUAGACACUUCUGCGCAUCUAAUUUUUCUCUUCCGUUGAAUCACCUCUUCAGGACUGCCUCCUGUAAAUGGCAUGACUCUGUCCCUGGUGAUAAAACACUUUACAGUCGUGGUUACAUGUUGCAUUUGCCAAACAGGCAGCACCAGUUUACGACGUUGUUACCAGGGGACGACUUUGCCACUUUCACCACCACCAUAAGGAGCAGAGGGAGAAUCACCGUCGACAUAAACACCCAAGUCUAUCGCAUUUAAAUUUAAUAGACGCACAGCUGGUUGUUGGCAAUUUGCAGCAUGUGACGUGGCUAAUAGCCGUUCAGCUGGGAUUCUCUCUGAGUUCCAGGCCUUUUCGUUCACCACAUCGGGUUAGCCGGAGUUGAGCUUUCAGCCUUCAUUGUUCUUGGCCCUGUGGUCCCAGUCUAUGCAGAACAGCAGAGAUGUUGGGACCUGUAAUUAUCAGUCCCAUUGUGCGAGACAGGUUACAUCCUACUGCUCAGCCUGGAGCAUGUGUGCACUUCUACAGACUGUCCUGGACCAGCUUUCUCUCUGCAUCCCAAAGCUCAGCCUAGGACAUGAUGGACCCCGGGAGGAUUUGUUUACCGGAUGGCUUGGAAAAGAAAAAAUUCUCCCACAGCCUGCCCGAAAACCUCCACAUGCUGAGGGUACACACUCGAAAUGGAGAGUCUGAGAACUCGAACUCUUGUUUUUCUGAAUGCACAGGCAGCCUUUCAUACUGAUAGGGAAUUGGCUCCAGGACUCUUCCAGAGACUCGACUCCUGGAUGUUCAAGUCCUUCAGGUAGAAUGCUUCAGUCGACGCAUGUAAUGUGUGCAGUGCUCUUGUAUGCUCCAACCGCAUACUUAGAAUGCUUAACCACAUGCUUAGAAGGAGAACCUCGAGGUCUUGCUCCCAGACUAACACAAGGGAGGAGGCUGUUAGUGAUCCGGACAGCCGCAUGCUUUUUCCUGAAUGUUUUUGACUGGUCUCAAUCUACAGACAUGGAUAAGGCCUUAGGAUCUUGUUCAUGGGAAACCUGUGGCCAGUGGGGUCCACUGUCUUUCUUCUCCGUUAUGCAUAGCAGAUGCCCUUUCCUCCACGCUGUGGCUCUGCUGCCUUUCCACUUUCCAAACGAAACCAAGGCUGUGUCCGAGGAGGAGUUUGGUGAAGGUUUCGGUGACAUUGGAUACCUGCUGCUUAGACGUUCUGGUUUUAUCACUGAGAAUCCAGAAGAACCCUUGGGCCCUGGUUUUCUCUCUGAGUGGUUGAUUUCUCUAGCACAAGAGAAGCUGGCAGACAAAUUCACCGUAACGAGAUUAAGGUCUGAGUCCCACCCACCGUGUGACCGGAUUGGCUGUGUUGGGACAUAUUGAUGUUAGAGCUACAUGGUGUGAAACAGAUCAAAGUUUUGUUUUGUCUUCAUUCAAAAACUGUAAAAAGAAUUAUUUCAA